This is a non-coding RNA of Lolium perenne, 2835 nucleotides long. NCBI's taxonomy places the organism in Eukaryota, Viridiplantae, Streptophyta, Magnoliopsida, Poales, Poaceae. The record is from RefSeq and is a predicted model, not a curated record.
CCCUCUCUUCCCAAUCCCCUCGUUCUCUUCCCCAGCCCUCCUCCCACCCCCUGCUCCGCCGACCGCCUCCCCGCCUUCUCCACCCACCUGGUUGCGGCCCUGCCGACCAGAGGCCACGGCCGACCUAUACAGCGACGGAAGGGCAGGAGCCGAGGCAAGAAGCGGCGUUGGAGAUGGAGGAUCGCCUCCGCAUCUUGGUUUCGUCGGGAUUUGCCGGCCGGCCGGAGGCCUCGGCUUGCAGGACGACAACGAGAUCGACGAGGAAGGGAGAGGUGGCGGGACGUGAAUCGGCGUGAGGUCGAGAGGGCAGGAGACCAUGGCGGUUUCCACACUUGCCCUGCACUGAUGUUGAUGGUGAAGCUGGAAAUGGUUGUCCCCUGAUUGGUGAGUUUGGAGGCGACGAUGGCCCGUGUUGCGCUGGAGAUGGAGGAUCCCCUCCACAACUUAGUUUUAUUUAUCCACGUCAAGCUCACUCGUAAAGGAGAGAGGAGGUGGAGCAGCGUAGGGAGGAAGAGGUGAACCGGAAGAUCAUUUGUGGAUUAAUGUUCUGAAUUUGUGUAAUGGUUCUUUUUUAUCUGGUCUACAAGGACGUGUGGCUCAUGGCGACACUGGAUCCAGUGGUCAGCAUGGUUAUCGCCGUCAGCGGUUCUCCUUGUCUUCAGUGUCAUAUGAGUGCAUUAAAAGGAUCAAGAAUUGGAUCAGUCAAACUAAUACUCAGAGUAACAUCAUUGUGGAAGAGAAGGGAGAAAAUUAAAGUUCUGCAUCAGCAAAUAUUUAUCGAGUCGGAGCACUUUCGAAAGAUCUUCAGAUGUUAGGCCUAUCAAGAAUAAUAUCUCAAUUAUCAAAGAUCUUUGAGAACUAAUACUUCAUCUAUAAUAGGAUCUCAAUAAUUGACCAUGGUUUGGCUUUUGGCUGGUAACAACGUCAGUGAGGUAGAUGUCCUUCACCCCUUUCUGAAGCUAAAGGUUCCAGACUUGUGCCACAGCAAUCUCUGGGAUGAGGAGGAUGUAAAGAGGGAGAUGAAGCGGUAAGAUGAAUCAUGAGAGAGAAAGAAGGAGAGACCUCCAGCGAUACUAACGCGUGCAGGUGUUUCAGUAGCCACCUUGGCUCCACCUCUAGGAGCCAAGUCUCCACUUCCACACCACACCCUUGUAUCUUUAUUCAUCUCUGCCUCUUGAAUAAGUUUCCUGUAUGUCCGAUUCAUAAGAUCACCAUUCAUAAAUGUUGCAUCCAUUUUUGCUAGAAAACAGGCAUGGAAAUUUAUUCAUGGUGACCGCGCGGUGGCGGCCAUGAUCGAACCCUAGCAGCAGAAAAUACUUCUUCGUUUGCUGGUUUAAAUCAUCAAAGAUUAAAUCGUAUCUUUUGUAGUAAUAUUUGGAUCUGAGUAUUCUGAAUAUGCACAUCUGGUCAUGUGAGUACUCUGAAUACAUGCACAUUCCAUUAAGUGCUUUGUUCUUUAAAUUAGUGCAGAUUUUUAAAUAGCUUUCAAAACAAACCAUGGCGACAAGUGGAAUAUUUAUGCUCCAUCUAGCUGCUUGAGAUUUUGCAAUUGAGGUACCAACAUAUUAAGUAGAGAAAUUUCAUAUGUGUAUAGCCAUGAUCUCUACCCCAGCAGCAGAAAAAAACUUCACCGUUUGCUGGUUUAAAUCAUCCAAGAUUAAAUUGUAUCUUUCGUAGUAAUAUUUGGAGCUGAGUAUUCUGAAUAUGCACAUCUGGUCGAGUGACUACUCUGAAUAUGUGCACAUUCGAUUCACUGCUUUGUUCUUUAAAUUAGUGCAGAUUUUUAAAUAGCUUUCAAAAUAAACCAUGGUGAAAACUGGAAUAUUUAUGCUCCAUCUAGCUGUUUGCGAUUUUGCAAUUAAGGUACCAACAUAUUAAGUAGAUAGAUUUCAUAUGUACCUAUGUUUCAGACUUCUAUCCCUUUUCACAAACAAUUAACACAUUUUUCUUUUUUGUGUUGGUCUUCUAGGCAUGAAGCAAAACUUGAGCAAAGAAACACGUGCUACCAACUGAUCAAUGGCUUUGCCAACGCAGCGAUAAGAUGAACGAGCAGUUGCCUCUGGGUUUGUUGUGUGUUUGGUCUGACCUACUGAAGCAAUUCUCUGUUUUCUCUAAUUUCAACUAUUUCCUCUCAUGUGGUAGUUUCUGUCUGCGCGAGAAUUUGCUACCCUGCCGGUUAUUGAAACGUUUUGUAUGAGCAGCUACUCUCAGUGCAUGUUGCCGUUAUUAAAAACGUGGCCGGCUGGGCAUUCAAAACAUGUGUGAGCAAAUUAUCCCUAGGGAAAAGUAGUGUUGCCUAUAGAACCCCAAAUCUAUAUAUCAGAAUGAAUGCACCAAGGGAGCAAUGCGGAGGCAUGUAGCAACCUGAUGAUGGAGAAAUGUAAAAAAUUCAGUAGACAUGGUUCACAUGAGUUCAAAACAUUAUUUUCGUCAGGAGACAUGGACUGUUUUCAAUGGCUUCUCAGUUCUAAAAUCAGGUCCAUUGAUGUAUUGUUAUGAUAUUUCUAUUGUGUUGUAAACAUUUUGAGUAGCUCUCACCGAACAACUUAUCUCACACUUUACAUUGUUGGGCAAUCUCCCAUGAUGACUUCAAAAGUAAUUAUGGAGGCGGGUGCCUCUUGAGAGUGCUAUUAAAUUAUUGUUUAGAUAACAAUAAUUAGAGGUACAUUAUAUUUUCAUGUGGUUUGUAUUGUAAACACAUGUCGUGAUACUACUAAUACACAUAAUAUUUUACCCAGUGAUUGACUAUGUGAAAGGUUGGGUGGUGUGUGGAUUGAUAAGACUUAUUUCUGACUAUUACCAUCAGUUUAUAUAAAUGUUUAAUACAUUCUUCUA